UCUAUGUUUCUGGAUGUUCUGCCUUUGAAAGACACAUAAUAUGUGGAUCAAAAAGCUUUGAUCCAUUACUGGAGAGAAAAUUAGGCACUUUAAGUUGGACCCAGAGCAAACACUUGCAAGGAAGAAUUUAUUAUUUCAUGUUCAGGGUAAUAAACAUUAAUAUCAGCUGUAAAUUUCACAUGGAAAACUUUUAGCUAUUUCUCUGCCCUAAAUCACUUCCCACUACGCAUGCCCUAUUAAUGUACACGGCAUUAAGGUUCAGAUGGGGAGCUUUGUCUUGGUAAAAAGCAUCUACCAAUCAAGGGAAACCAAAAUCUUUCACCUUAGAAUCAGUUGAUAACUUCCUCAUUACUGGCAUGGAGGUAUGCUGAUGCAACUGAAGCUUAGCCUUCUCAUUCCUCUUGUAUGCAGAUUCAGCAACUUGCACCGCUUUCUCACUCCUGCACCCCAAUAGGCUAUUUGGGAGGCGGCUUCUAGGCCUUGAAGCUAAGCCAGAAGAUUUUGUACAACUUUCUGCAGGUUUCUUUUCAUCAUAAUGUGGAACAGCAUAGAAAUCUGCAGCACUGGCUGUGACAACACUCCACUCAAUGCUGGUCUCGCUUGGCUCAUACCGGCUUGGAGGUGUCAUGCAGCCGGACAUGCCAUCAGAAGUUUGCUUCCUGAACAUUGGCUGUGUACUGCAGGACAAGUUCUCAAUCUCGAACAGGUCUGAACUAGCAUCACUUUCUGCUUCUUCACACAUUUGACUGCUUGCAGAAGUGGUUGGCAGGGUUUGUGCCUUCGGAAAUGGAAUGGCAUCCCAAGUUAGCACAGAGAGUUUCCUUUCUAGAUUUGAUGCUAUGUCUUCCUUCUUUACCUUAUGGGAGCCAAACACAUCCAGUGAUUCUCGUAGAUCUUCUUCCAGGAUCUUCUGCUUCUCUCUUUUAACACUCAUGCUUUGCACCCCAGAAUUUACAGUUGGUAAUACUAAGUAGUCUUCUCUGUUCGAACCAAUCCUUGUCCUUUCAAAACUUGGACAGCGAAACUCAUCUUUCAUCAGAAGUCCAGAAUAAGAAUUCUUUCUUCCCUCUAGCAUGAUAGGGUCUCCGGCAACUUGAAGCCCACUACGAGGAAUACUUCUAUCUAUAUAAACAGAUUUAUCAUCGGAACAAGAUCCACUGCAGGAAAAUCCGGGAAAGAACCAUCUUUCAUUUGCUUUCUUCCGCCUGCUAUGGGAUAAGUUUCUCCGAGAAUUUGUUAAUAACGUAGUUUGGCUAUUCCAACUCGAUUCAGAACUCACACUUGGAGUCCCUAACCUGCCUUUUGGUUUCAAAAGGUGAUGAUCAACCCGAUUCUCUAUUGUCUUAUGCGCAAACUUGCCUGCAUCGGCAUUUAUGCUUCCUGCACUUUCUUCUUCCAGUUUCAUAUUGAAAUACUUCUCAGCACCAAAGACGCCGAUUUCACCCUCUUCAGGCUCAGUUCCCUCCAAGUUUAUCAGAGUGGAAGUCUCUUGGGUUGUGAUUAUUUCAGGACGAGGAAACUGAGCUGACUCUGUCAGCUUAACUACAUAAUUCUGCUGCGCUGCAGUAAGAAAAGAAAAUGAAGCAUCUCGAAGAUCAGUACUCUUGAUUUCUCCAUCCAUAGCUACAGAAAGGCUGGUAGAGGAAGAAAAUUAAGAAUCUGGGAAAUCCUAUGACAAGCUAAGGAGCAUGGAGGCACAGUUGACUGAUACAAUGA
This 1716-nucleotide unclassified non-coding RNA is filed under the name Hevea brasiliensis (rubber tree). The record is from RNAcentral. Lineage: Eukaryota; Viridiplantae; Streptophyta; Magnoliopsida; Malpighiales; Euphorbiaceae.